GGUCAUGGCUCAGCGGUAGAGAACUCGCCUAGCACGUGGGAGGCCCUGGGUUUGAUCCUCAGCACCA
This 67-nucleotide transfer RNA is filed under the name Marmota monax (woodchuck). RNAcentral's name for it is "tRNA.Ala". The record is from RNAcentral. Lineage: Eukaryota; Metazoa; Chordata; Mammalia; Rodentia; Sciuridae.